This 301-nucleotide ribosomal RNA is filed under the name uncultured bacterium. Its description in RNAcentral is "partial 16S ribosomal RNA". It matches the Rfam family "Bacterial small subunit ribosomal RNA", at positions 509 to 809 of the family's 1533-position model. The record is from RNAcentral.
CAGCCGCCGCGGGAAUACGUAGGUGGCAAGCGUUGUCCGGAAUUAUUGGGCGUAAAGGGCUCGCAGGCGGUUUCUUAAGUCUGAUGUGAAAGCCCCCGGCUCAACCGGGGAGGGUCAUUGGAAACUGGGAAACUUGAGUGCAGAAGAGGAGAGUGGAAUUCCACGUGUAGCGGUGAAAUGCGUAGAGAUGUGGAGGAACACCAGUGGUGAAGGCGACUCUCUGGUCUGUAACUGACGCUGAGGAGCGAAAGCGUGGGGAGCGAACAGGAUUAGAUACCCGCGUAGUCCCUGUCUCUUAUAA